CUCUAGUUUCUUUUUCAUAAGCUUCUUAGAAGUCAUACUUUGGUGUCUCUUUCAUAAACUUCUUAGAGAUUUCUCACAAUUCACAGACCAACGGUCUGCUCAUAAGAUGUGUUCGUAUAAGAACACUUGUAGAACGGUGUUUCAUUGUUAUAUUGUCUCCAACAAUGAUCGGUAAACGGUCCGGUACGUUAAGUUUAGCGGACAGUAGCAUCCUGUACGCGUCCAACAACGAAUGCCAAAGGGAACUCUAAAUUUUACCGGUUGCCAAGAAGACGUUAAAUGUGGCGGAUCUCGGAUGUCCCUUAUACGCCGACUCUUCUCCCUCCCGCGUCGGGGCGGAAGCUUCCUCUCGCGCUCCUUUCCGGUUGCAACUGUCUCCCCGCGGCGCCGGUUGUUCCCGGCGUUGUUUGUCGAAGGCAGUGGCGAAGCUGGGCCCCAAGUUGCCGGAGCCGGACAGGUCCGAACAGAGGUCGUCGCGAGCUCAAGCCAGCACUGAGGACGACCGUCCAUUCGUCCAAGUUUGAUGUAGCCAAACGCCGCCCCUUCCCUCCUCGCAGGUCGGUGCUGAGAAAAGGAAGUGAAGUCCAUCGUGUUCGUACGCUUCGUCUUCGAUUUUGUCAAAGGUCCCGAUCCAAGCCAUCGAAGUUCCCUGCAUUGGAUGACCAAAGUUGCUUCUAGUGAUUAUGGCAUGCAGGUGACGUAAUGUAAUUAUUUUCAUUACUCCAUAAUUCUAUUUUGGCACAUACGAACAAUAUUUUUUGUUGUGUGUACGACAUGGAAAAGUAUAUAAUAUAAAUUUCCAAUGUAUUGUUUCCUAUAUAGGAUCGAGGAGUAAUUUCUACAUUAAAUGAAAAUGUGUUGUAAAAAGUAUUUUAAAUUCAUGACAUACUUUUUUGUGAUAGGUGAAAAAAAUGUAGAUUAUUCAAAUCUAGUAACACUGUAGAUAUAGAGAACCAAAUUUAGGGGACGUUGCUGUAGACGAAGAAAAUAUAGAGAAUAGAAUCGUUUAGAGGGUGCUAUAAAGGAUAGAGAAUAUUUCUUUAGAAGAUGAAAUUUAGGGGACGCUGCUGUUGGAGGCCUUCGUCUUCCGAAGGUCCUCAAAAACAUGAUUUAACAAUGUUUUUCAAGUGUGACAUAUGAACAGGUAACUUCGGACUCGGGUUAAAACCAUACGCGAUGUGAAAAGCAUGGUUGAGACGAAGGCUGAUGAUUGCUUCGAAGCUACACGCAAGGAAGCUUCGGCUAAGUGGCGGAAAAAGGAACCGACUUAAAGGGGAAAAGACAAUCUAGUCCCCGUUGGUUUAUUCAUAAGUCAAUAGUAAAUAUAAAGGGCAUGAAUGUAAAUUUACACAGGUUGCGCCCUGUGCCUAUAAAUAGAUGAACAGUACCCCCGUACUGUUCACGCUGACUGGUACUCGCUUGUGCGUCACGCUUGUAAUUUCACCCUCUGUCAAGCCGAAGAUACAAAUAUAAUUCAAUAUUGUUUCUGUUUUUCCAUGAUAAUAUAAAGAAGAUGAGUUAA
Long non-coding RNA from Zea mays, 1522 nucleotides. RefSeq lists it as uncharacterized. The record is from RefSeq and is a predicted model, not a curated record. Lineage: Eukaryota; Viridiplantae; Streptophyta; Magnoliopsida; Poales; Poaceae. The transcript has 2 exons.